Molecule: ribosomal RNA, 465 nt
Filed under: uncultured bacterium
Lineage: Bacteria
Description: partial 16S ribosomal RNA
Rfam family: Bacterial small subunit ribosomal RNA
Source: RNAcentral
CCUACGGGAGGCUGCAGUAGGGAAUCUUCCACAAUGGGCGAAAGCCUGAUGGAGCAACGCCGCGUGGGUGAAGAAGGUCUUCGGAUCGUAAAACCCUGUUGUUAGAGAAGAAAGUGCGUGAGAGUAACUGUUCACGUUUCGACGGUAUCUAACCAGAAAGCCACGGCUAACUCCGUGCCAGCAGCCGCGGUAAUACGUAGGUGGCAAGCGUUAUCCGGAUUUAUUGGGCGUAAAGGGAACGCAGGCGGUCUUUUAGGUCUGAUGUGAAAGCCUUCGGCUUAACCGGGGUAGUGCAUUGGAAACUGGGAGACUUGAGUGCAGAAGAGGAGAGUGGAAAUCCAGGUGUAGCGGUGAAAUGCAUAGAGAUCGCGCAGAACUCAGAUUGCGAAGGCAGCGUACCGGCGCCGGACUGACGCUGAGGCACGAAAGCGUGGGUAUCGAACAGGAUUAGAUACCCCGGUAGUC